This 200-nucleotide unclassified non-coding RNA is filed under the name soil metagenome. RNAcentral describes it as "partial contains internal transcribed spacer 2 and large subunit ribosomal RNA". The record is from RNAcentral.
GCCUGUUCGAGCGUCAUUAUGACCACUCAAGCCUAGCUUGGUAUUGGGGUUCGCGGUCUCGCGGCCCUUAAAAUUAGUGGCGGUGCAUCUGGCUCUAAGCGUAGUAAUUUAUCUCGCUAUUGGGUCUGGUGGUUGCUUGUCAAUAACCCCCAACUUUUAAGGUUGACCUCGGAUCAGGUAGGGAUACCCGCUGAACUUAG